ACAAGUUCAGAGCCCCCAUCCAAUCUGGCUUUCAUCAUAAAUUUUGAAAAUUAGUUUUAUAUGUCAGAAACUCAAAUUUGGUCACCUCGUAUCUAAUGUAAAAUCUUAAAAGGAAAAUUUUGUUUGCAUAUGUGUGUCCUCACAUGAACUGUUAUGUUGUGCAGCCAUGCAUGCUUGUGUGAGAGAAACAAAGUGAGAGGUGAAAGAUCAUCAGAUUUUUCAUGUAACAACCUCUCUGUCUCUAAAAUAAGAAGCUGUCUAAUGUUAAAUUACUUAAUUUAUGAAUAGUUGACUGAAUGAUUUAGACCUCCCACCUUUUCUAUUCUGGUGUUUUCUUUUUUUCUCAAUUUAUUUAUUCGAUAUUCCUUAUUUAUCUAAAUAGACUACAUGGGCUAAAAGUAAUCAUGUUGACGAUGAACCAGUUGAGGAAAUUAAUAAUUAUGCUUUGAAAUCAUGAAUAGUUCUAGGUUGGAGACAUCAUUGAUUUAGAAGUAUCCUAUAACUUCACAUAAAUAAUGUGGGUAGUAUUAUUUGAUAGCUAUGGUUUUAUCCCUUUUGCUUGGUUCCAGGCUCAAAGAUCACACAGAUGCUCAAGUGCAAAUGUAGAGUAUCUAAUACAAGCACAGCCAAAGAUCUUAUACCCUUUUUCUUUUUUAUGUUUCAAAUCAAACUGAAGAUCUUAUGUGCAACAUUUAGCACAUUAUUACUUCUAGGAAAUUGAACAUGGAUUUGAUGGAACAACUCAAUAAUCAAUUCAAUGCAGGAACUAACAUAAUUCUCAAUCGCAACCAGCUCUCCAAAUUCAAGGAAAACAGACCAAAAAAGAGCCAAGAUCUUGUAAAUCUAAUUGU
Molecule: unclassified non-coding RNA, 851 nt
Filed under: Hevea brasiliensis (rubber tree)
Lineage: Eukaryota; Viridiplantae; Streptophyta; Magnoliopsida; Malpighiales; Euphorbiaceae
Source: RNAcentral